RNAcentral lists this ribosomal RNA (493 nucleotides) under uncultured bacterium. RNAcentral's name for it is "partial 16S ribosomal RNA". It matches the Rfam family "Bacterial small subunit ribosomal RNA", at positions 29 to 507 of the family's 1533-position model. The record is from RNAcentral.
AGUGAACGCUGGCGGUAGGCCUAACACAUGCAAGUCGAACGGCAGCACAGUAAGAGCUUGCUCUUACGGGUGGCGAGUGGCGGACGGGUGAGGAAUACAUCGGAAUCUACUUUUUCGUGGGGGAUAACGUAGGGAAACUUACGCUAAUACCGCAUACGACCUACGGGUGAAAGCAGGGGAUCUUCGGACCUUGCGCGAUUGAAUGAGCCGAUGUCGGAUUAGCUAGUUGGCGGGGUAAAGGCCCACCAAGGCGACGACCCGUAGCUGGUCUGAGAGGAUGAUCAGCCACACUGGAACUGAGACACGGUCCAGACUCCUACGGGAGGCAGCAGUAGGGAAUCUUCGGCAAUGGACGAAAGUCUGACCGAGCAACGCCGCGUGAGUGAAGAAGGUUUUCGGAUCGUAAAACUCUGUUGGUAGAGAAGAACGUUGGUGAGAGUGGAAAGCUCAUCAAGUGACGGUAACUACCCAGAAAGGGACGGCUAACUACGUG